GAGUUUGAUCCUGGCUCAGAACGAACGCUGACGGCGCGUCUUAAGCAUGCAAGUCGAACGGUAAGAGAGGAGCUUGCUCUUCUCCUAGAGUGGCGGACUGGUGAGUAACGCGUAGGUGACCUACCCUGAAGAUGGGGAUAGCUAGUAGAAAUAUUAGAUAAUACCGAAUAAGCUCAUAGACGUAAACGGAUAUGAGGAAAGGAGCUACGGCUCCGCUUUAGGAUGGGCCUGCGUCCCAUUAGCUAAGUUGGUGAGGUAAAGGCUCACCAAGGCGACGGUGGGUAUCCGGCCUGAGAGGGUGAACGGACACAUUGGGACUGAGAUACGGCCCAAACUCCUACGGGAGGCAGCAGCUAAGAAUCUUCCGCAAUGGACGAAAGUCUGACGGAGCGACGCCGUGUGAAUGAAGAAGGCCGAAAGGUUGUAAAGUUCUUUUGCAGAUGAAGAAUAAGGGCAAGAGGGAAUGCUUGUCUGA
This 475-nucleotide ribosomal RNA is filed under the name Treponema sp. canine oral taxon 350. RNAcentral describes it as "bacterial SSU rRNA". It matches the Rfam family "Bacterial small subunit ribosomal RNA", at positions 9 to 476 of the family's 1533-position model. Lineage: Bacteria; Pseudomonadati; Spirochaetota; Spirochaetia; Treponematales; Treponemataceae. The record is from RNAcentral.